RNAcentral lists this ribosomal RNA (296 nucleotides) under uncultured bacterium. Its description in RNAcentral is "partial 16S ribosomal RNA". It matches the Rfam family "Bacterial small subunit ribosomal RNA", at positions 28 to 351 of the family's 1533-position model. The record is from RNAcentral.
GAUGAACGCUGGCGGUCUGACUUAACACAUGCAAGUCGAACGAACUCUUCGGAGUGAGUGGCGGACGGGUGAGUAACGCGUGAGAAUCUGCCUGUGGUCGGGGAACAACCACUGGAAACGUGGCUAAUACCGGAUGAGCCGAAAGGUAAAAGAUUUAUUGCCCACAGAUAGACGCUCGCGUCUGAUUAGCUAGUUAGGUAAGGUAAAAGCGUACCAAGGCGACGAUCAGUAGCUGGUCUGAGAGGAUGAGCAGCCACACUGGGACUGAGACACGGCCCAGACUCCUACGGAGGCAG